This 1348-nucleotide ribosomal RNA is filed under the name metagenome. RNAcentral's name for it is "bacterial LSU rRNA". It matches the Rfam family "Bacterial large subunit ribosomal RNA", at positions 1564 to 2925 of the family's 2925-position model. The record is from RNAcentral.
UGAGUGCGAGCUUCUACGGAAGCGAAGUUGGUGACGUCAAGCUUCCAAGAAAAGCCCUAUACCCGUUAAGGCAUGAUUACCUGUACCCGAAACCGACACAGGUGGGGUGGUAGAGAAUACCGAGGGGCGCGAGGUAACUCUCUCUAAGGAACUCGGCAAAAUGACCCCGUAACUUCGGGAGAAGGGGUGCCAGCGCGAGCUGGUCGCAGUGAAUAGGCCCAGGCGACUGUUUACCAAAAACACAGGUCUCCGCUAAGUCGCAAGACGAUGUAUGGGGGCUGACGCCUGCCCAGUGCCGGAAGGUUAAAGAAGUUGGUCAGCGCAAGCGAAUUUAACGACUGAAGCCCCGGUGAACGGCGGCCGUAACGAUAACGGUCCUAAGGUAGCGAAAUUCCUUGUCGGGUAAGUUCCGACCCGCACGAAAGGCGUAACGAUCUGGGCGCUGUCUCGGAGAGAGGCUCGGCGAAAUAGAAUUGUCUGUGAAGAUGCGGACUACGUGCACCCGGACAGAAAGACCCUAUGAAGCUUUACUGUAGCUUGGUAUUGUGCUCGGGCUCGCAAUGCGCAGGAUAGGUGGGAGGCUUUGAUCCAUUGCUUGUGGGUGAUGGUGAGCCACUGGUGAGAUACCACUCUUUGCGAGCUAGGGUUCUAACGGUUACCCGUCAUCCGGGAACCGGACAGUAUCUGGUGGGCAGUUUGACUGGGGCGGUCGCCUCCUAAAAGGUAACGGAGGCGCGCAAAGGUUUGCUCAGGCUGGUUGGAAAUCAGCCGACGAGUGUAAAAGCAGAAGCAAGCUUGACUGUGAGACCUACAAGUCGAACAGGGAGGAAACUCGGCUUUAGUGAUCCGACGGUUCUGAGUGGAAGGGCCGUCGCUCAACGGAUAAAAGUUACUCUAGGAUAACAGGCUGAUCUCCCCCAAGAGUUCACAUCGACGGGGAGGUUUGGCACCUCGAUGUCGGCUCAUCGCAACCUGGGGCUGAAGUCGGUCCCAAGGGUUGGGCUGUUCGCCCAUUAAAGCGGUACGCGAGCUGGGUUCAGAACGUCGUGAGACAGUUCGGUCCAUAUCCGGUGCAUGCGCAGGAAUAUUGAGAGGAUUUCUCCCUAGUACGAGAGGACCGGGAGGAACGCACCUCUGGUGUACCAGUUAUCGUGCCAACGGUAAACGCUGGGUAGCCAUGUGCGGAGUGGAUAACCGCUGAAAGCAUCUAAGUGGGAAGCCCUCCUCAAGAUGAGUAUUCCCAUGGCUUAAGCCAGUAAGGUCACGGGAAGAACACCCGUUGAUAGGCUCUAUGUGGAAGCGCAGUAAUGCGUGAAGCAGAGGAGUACUAAUAGACCGAGGGCUUGAC